GUGGGUUAUACCAGAAGCCGGUGCGCUAACCGCAAGGAAGCAGCCGUUCAAGGUAUGACUCAUGAUUGGGGUGAAGUCGUAACAAGGUAGCCGUAGGUGAACCUGCAGAAGGAUCA
RNAcentral lists this ribosomal RNA (116 nucleotides) under uncultured eukaryote. RNAcentral describes it as "partial small subunit ribosomal RNA". It matches the Rfam family "Bacterial small subunit ribosomal RNA", at positions 1410 to 1525 of the family's 1533-position model. The record is from RNAcentral.